This 483-nucleotide ribosomal RNA is filed under the name uncultured bacterium. RNAcentral's name for it is "partial 16S ribosomal RNA". It matches the Rfam family "Bacterial small subunit ribosomal RNA", at positions 28 to 523 of the family's 1533-position model. The record is from RNAcentral.
GACGAACGCCGGCGGCGUGCUUUACACAUGCAAGUCGAACGGUGAAGGUGGAGCUUGCUCCGCCGGAUCAGUGGCGAACGGGUGAGUAACACGUGGGCAACCUGCCCCUAACUUUGGGAUAACUACUCGAAAGAGUAGCUAAUACCGGAUAUGAAGUCUGUAGGCAUCUAUGGAUUUGGAAAGUUUUUCGGUUAGGGAUGGGCCCGCGGCCUAUCAGCUUGUUGGUGAGGUAGUGGCUCACCAAGGCGACGACGGGUAGCCGGCCUGAGAGGGCGACCGGCCACACUGGGACUGAGACACGGCCCAGACUCCGACGGGAGGCAGCAGUGGGGAAUAUUGCGCAAUGGGCGAAAGCCUGACGCAGCAACGCCGCGUGCGGGAUGAAGGCCUUCGGGUUGUAAACCGCUUUCAGCAGGGAAGAAGCGAAAGUGACGGUACCUGCAGAAGAAGCACCGGCUAACUACGUGCCAGCCGCCGCCGUAA